RNAcentral lists this unclassified non-coding RNA (343 nucleotides) under soil metagenome. RNAcentral's name for it is "partial contains 5.8S ribosomal RNA, internal transcribed spacer 2, and large subunit ribosomal RNA". The stretch from base 1 to 120 matches the Rfam family "5.8S ribosomal RNA", at positions 35 to 154 of the family's 154-position model. The record is from RNAcentral.
GAUGAAGAACGUAGCGAAAUGCGAUAAGUAAUGUGAAUUGCAGAAUCCAGUGAAUCAUCGAAUCUUUGAACGCACAUUGCGCCCGCCAGCAUUCUGGCGGGCAUGCCUGUUCGAGCGUCAUUUCAACCCUCGACCUCCCUUUGGGGAAGUCGGCGUUGGGGACCGGCAGCACACCGCCGGCCCUGAAAUGGAGUGGCGGCCCGUCCGCGGCGACCUCUGCGUAGUAAUCCAACUCGCACCGGAACCCCGACGCGGCCACGCCGUAAAACACCCAACUUCUGAACGUUGACCUCGAAUCAGGUAGGACUACCCGCUGAGCUUAAGCAUAUCAAUAAGCGGAGGA